AGGAGUGGAGCCUGCGGCUUAAUUUGACUCAACACGGGGAAACUUACCAGGUCCAGACACCGGAAGGAUUGACAGAUUGAGAGCUCUUUCUUGAUUCGGUGGGUGGUGGUGCAUGGCCGUUCUUAGUUCGUGGAUUGGUUUGUCUGGUUUAUUCCGUUAACGAACGAGACUCUAACCUGCUAACUAGGCGUUACUUACCGGUAUCCUGAAGGCUCGCGGCUACCGUAUUUGCUGCGUCGUGUGCACGUGCUUGUGUCGUUUCGGCGGUGCAGUGCGUGUUACUGGCGUUAGCGGUCGGCAGUUUGCGGUUUUUACUACCGGCGUACAUAUGAAUCUUCUUAGAGGGACAGGCGACUCUUAGUCGCACGAGAUUGAGCAAUAACAGGUCUGUAAUGCCCUUAGAUGUUCUGGGCCG
RNAcentral lists this ribosomal RNA (415 nucleotides) under Elaphrus riparius. RNAcentral describes it as "SSU rRNA". It matches the Rfam family "Eukaryotic small subunit ribosomal RNA", at positions 1172 to 1489 of the family's 1831-position model. The record is from RNAcentral. Lineage: Eukaryota; Metazoa; Arthropoda; Insecta; Coleoptera; Carabidae.